UACGUAGGGUGCAAGCGUUGUCCGGAAUUAUUGGGCGUAAAGGGCGCGUAGGCGGCUCUGCACGUCCGUUGUGAAAUCGCCCGGCUCAACUGGGCGGGGUCAGCGGAUACGGCAGAGCUUGAGCAAGCUAGGGGGCAAUGGAAUUCCCGGUGUAGUGGUGGAAUGCGUAGAUAUCGGGAGGAACACCAGUGGCGAAGGCGGUUGCCUGGGGCUUUGCUGACGCUGAUGCGCGAAAGCGUGGGGAGCGAUCCGG
This 253-nucleotide ribosomal RNA is filed under the name uncultured bacterium. RNAcentral's name for it is "partial 16S ribosomal RNA". It matches the Rfam family "Bacterial small subunit ribosomal RNA", at positions 524 to 776 of the family's 1533-position model. The record is from RNAcentral.